UNGUUUACUUUGGGUGCAUAGUUAUUAU
RNAcentral lists this non-coding RNA (28 nucleotides) under Mus musculus (house mouse). The record is from RNAcentral. Lineage: Eukaryota; Metazoa; Chordata; Mammalia; Rodentia; Muridae.